Cyprinus carpio (common carp) is the source of this 1009-nucleotide long non-coding RNA. The record is from Ensembl. Lineage: Eukaryota; Metazoa; Chordata; Actinopteri; Cypriniformes; Cyprinidae.
UAUAAAUUUAAUCUUCAUAAGAGUGAACUUUUGCCUAUAAAUUCCGUGGCCAUAGCUUACCCUCUUUCAAUUUUGCCAUUUGAGACAUCAUUAGAUCAAUUCAAUUAUAUUGUUCAUACAAUUAUAUUGAUCAAUUCAAUUAUACUAAAAGCUUAGUUUGGUUCCAGAUUUGCUCUAAAAUCUGGAACCAAAAUUAGUACCUCGAUGGCGCCGCAGACGGCUGCUUCAGUGCUUGGCUCUCCAGUGUUUGUACUGUUUUUGUUCGUUUUUCCUGUUUUUUGUUUGUCAAACACGAUCAGUUUCACCAGGGAUGAACUGCUGAACAUUCGGCAGAAUACACCACAAAAUCUUUUACCGGAUUUCAAUUAUUCGGACGUUUUACUGAACGUUGUUGUUGGUGGAGCAGCGGCGCUGAUCAAACGCUUCAAAAAGCGCAAACAGGGAAAGCGAGCCGGUGCGCUCGUUAGACUCAGGAAGCGCGGAUUUCGAACGCCGUUGCCUAGCAUCCAUCUGGCAAAUCUCCGCUCUCUACCCAACAAAACGGACGAAAUCCUUCUGCUUUCCCGGACAAAUAAGGAUUUAUCACACUCUGCUGCUCUGUGUUUCACGGAAACCUGGCUCAAUGACGCCAUACCGGAUAGCGCGCUCCAUCUGCCGGGCUUUCAGCUGUUCAGAGCGGACCGCGACGCAGAAUCAACGGGGAAAUCGCGCGGCGGCGGGACAUGCUUUUACAUCAACGAAAGGUGGUGUACAGAUGUAACUUUGUUAAAGAAGAUGUGCUGCUCAGAUCUCGAAACACUCUUCAUUAACUGCAAGCCGUUCUAUUCGCCGCGGGAGUUUCACUCGUUCAUUCUGGUGAGUGUUUAUAUCCCUCCGCAAGCGCACGUAAGUCUGGCUUUACAGAAACUCGCUGACCAGAUUACAGAGACAGAACAACAACACCCAGACUCUGUUUUAAUAAUUCUCNNNNNNNNNNNNNNNNNNNNNNNNNNNNNNNNNNNNNNNNNNN